This 241-nucleotide unclassified non-coding RNA is filed under the name Hevea brasiliensis (rubber tree). Lineage: Eukaryota; Viridiplantae; Streptophyta; Magnoliopsida; Malpighiales; Euphorbiaceae. The record is from RNAcentral.
CAAUAUCCAGAAGGAGUCCACCCUGCACCUUGUCCUCCGUCUCCGUGGUGGUUUUUAAGUUGUGGUUGUCUGGUUGCGUCUGUUGCCCGUUGUCUGUUGCCCAUUGUGGUGGUUGUGUUUGUAUGAUGGUCGUUAAGGAUCAUCAAUGUGUUUUCGCUUUUUGUUCCAUUCUGUUUCUCAUUUGUGAAUAAUAAUGGUAUCUUUAUGAAUAUGCAGUUUGUGGUUUUUAAGUUGUGGUUGU